UUGGAGGGCAAGUCUGGUGCCAGCAGCCGCGGUAAUUCCAGCUCCAAUAGCGUAUAUUAAAGUUGUUGCAGUUAAAAAGCUCGUAGUUGAAUUUCGGGAUCAGCAGGUUGGUCGUGCCAAUGGUAUGCACUGGCCUUGCUGAUUCCUCCCUCUUGAUGAGCCGUAAUGCCAUUAAUUUGGUGUUGCGGGGAAUCAGGACUGUUACUUUGAAAAAAUUAGAGUGUUUAAAGCAGGCAAGCGCUUGAAUACAUUAGCAUGGAAUAAUGAAAUAGGACGUUUGAUCCUAUUUUGUUGGUUUCUAGGAUUGACGUAAUGAUUAAUAGGGAUAGUUGGGGGCAUUAGUAUUCAAUUGUCAGAGGUGAAAUUCUUGGAUUUAUUGAAGACUAACUACUGCGAAAGCAUUUGCCAAGGAUGUUUUCAUUAAUCAAGAACGAAAGUUAGGGGAUCGAAGACGAUCAGAUACCGUCGUAGUCUUAACCAUAAACUAUGCCGACUAGGGAUCGGAUGAUGUUAAUUUUUUAAUGACUCAUUCGGCACCUUACGGGAAAC
RNAcentral lists this ribosomal RNA (549 nucleotides) under uncultured Glomus. RNAcentral's name for it is "SSU rRNA". It matches the Rfam family "Eukaryotic small subunit ribosomal RNA", at positions 548 to 1098 of the family's 1831-position model. Lineage: Eukaryota; Fungi; Glomeromycota; Glomeromycetes; Glomerales; Glomeraceae. The record is from RNAcentral.